Molecule: long non-coding RNA, 36736 nt
Filed under: Vitis vinifera (wine grape)
Lineage: Eukaryota; Viridiplantae; Streptophyta; Magnoliopsida; Vitales; Vitaceae
Description: long non-coding RNA (VVIN_LNC000127)
Source: RNAcentral
UCCUUCUCCGGGCCUUGCUUUCUCCUCAUCUUCUUUGCUUCCUUUGUCUUCUUCCAGUGCGCACUUGGGGUGGAGAUUGAAAUCACAUUCUUCACAAUAGAAUGACCACAAGUGUCCCUGCUUCUCACACCCAUUACAUCUAUAAAUGCCACGCUUAGUGAGCACAAGCUCAUGCUCUUCAUGAAGGGCAUGUUUCAUCUUCUCAGGCCACCCCUUUGCCAUCUCAUACUGCGCCUCGAUCUCCUUUAUAUGUUCUUCAGUGAAAGGAUAAGCAUCAGCCCCAUGAAUCAUAACAAGAGUUCUGGCUUCUGUUGUCACUGUCCGGCCAGUUGGUUCAACGGCUAUGAGCUUGGGGAUGCUCCUGACCUUGAAGGUGCGACCCAAGGAAGCUUUCCUUUUGUCCCCAAAGGGAAGUGCCAGCCAUGGCAUACCUGAAAAGAAUUCAUCAAAGGAGGCCUGAUCCCUGUCACUAGAGAUGAAAAUCACUUCGAAUGCUUCAUCCUUUGCCUUAAUAUUCUGGUAUGCUUCUAUAAGUUUUGGUAGGAAAGCGCGGCAUGGGGGGCACCAAUGUGCUGAGAAAUAUAGGAGGAUGUUCUUCCCCACUAGAUCAGACACGGGAAUCUGAAACAAGAGCAAUUUGUCACUGAUAACAAGCAUAAUAAGGGAGAGUAUUGCAAACUGAAAAAAGGGACACAGGGCACCAUGUUGCAUCGAACAACAUCACCUUUUAACCAAGAUCCAAAAGCAGAUGUUCACGCAUCUACUGAAAGAAGAUCUUACCUUGACUCUAUCUUUCCCGAUCACAAAGUCUCUGUUCCCUGAAACCAAAAUUGACUCCAGUGUCUGUGCUUCCCGUUUUGCCUUCUCAAUCUCCUCAAGCUCUGCAAACUUCUCUGGGGUAAAAGGGUAUGCCUGAAUCCCAUGUUCUUGGAUUGCCUCGGCAACAUUGGAGUGAAGAGUCUUUCCAUCUGGCCCAAUAACAACCAAAGUGGGCAGGGCUGAGAGCUCAAAGUAGCGAGCUAGUUUCUUACAGCUCCUGUCCUUGAAGGGCAAUGCAAGCCAAGGCAUGCUACCAAAAUUUGUUUUGAAUGAUUCUAUCUCAUCAUCAAGCGAUAUCAUGACAAUUUCAAAGCUCUCCCCCUUCGCCCUUAAUUUCUUAUAAACAUCCACUAGCGUUCGAGUAAAUUGAAGGCGUGGCUUGGAGGAAGACAAUGAGAAAUACAGUCCAACGAACUUCCCUUCUAGUUCAGACACAGGCACCUUGUAUUGAAAUAGUUUAAGAAGAAAUUCAGACCAGGAAGAAACAAUAUGAAUCAUGUUCAAAUUUAUAGAUGCGAGAAUAACUAUUUCUUGAACAAAAAGCACUGUCAAUGAAAUUCACCCUCUUUCCAUCAGUUGAAAUUACAUAGUCGCGGGAUUGUGAGACUAAGAUGGAUAUCAAGGAUUGUUCCUUCUUGGCCGUUUCUUCCUUUUCCUUCAGUUCUUUGAUCUUUUCAGCUGUGAAAGGAUACCCUUCCACUCCAUAAUCUUUUAUGAUCUCAACUCCCUCACUGCUCAAAACCUUGCCAGAUUCAUCAAGCAUCGCAAGGCUUGGAAUCCCCCUCACCUUGAACAAUUUCUUCAAGUGAUCACGCGUGUCCGAAUCAGAAAAUGGGAUUGCAAGCCAGGGCAUCUUGGAGAAAUAUUCAUUGAACAACUGAUCGCCUUUGUCACGUGAAACAAAGAUGAUUUCAAAAUCGCCUUUGGAGGAGAAUUCAUCGUACACCUCUACUAAUUCAGGGGUGAAUUGCCGACGUGGUCCACACCAUGAUGCUGAAAAAUAUAGCCAAAUUUUCUUCCCCUUUAAACUCUCAACUUUAACCUGCAAAACACAGAAUUUAGCCGAUGAACUCCCUUCUGGAUCACUCUAAAAGCAAUUAAUGCUAUUAGGCCAAUUGAACUUUUUGCUGCUUAAGACUCUGUUAACAAUAGUCACAACUCUUCUGUGAUUUAAGCGUUGGUGGGUGUUGGACUCUUGGUUAAUUGGGGGCGUCCAGCUCCUUUUUUCAUUCGAAACUCUUAGUUCCACUCAAGCUUCUUUUUAUGGUAGAAUAAAAGCAGAGAAGAUGGAAAAUACCUGGUGGCCAUUGCAGCGGACAAGAAAGUCCCGAUCCUCUCUUGUGAGAAGCGGAACCAAAUCGUGAGCAACGCCAUCAACGUUUUCGCUAGCCAUGUCUUCUGAUUUUGAUCACAAUUUUUUUAGCCUGUGCCUUUGCACUUUGGUGCCCAGCUUCUAUAGCAUCUAAGUCGGUUAGACCUAAGCCAUCCAGAAGCCUUAGGGGUGAAGAAAACCAAAGUCUACGUAUGUGGUGUACGUAGAUGCCCAACGUCAGCGCGGGCCGCGGUCCCCUCUAGGGAAAAAGACAUAAGUUGCGUGGCUGCAUAUUGUAAUGGUUGUCAUUUAAUAUGAAUGUACUACAAUUUUGAAAGUUUAGGUAAGGAAAUAAGUACUGAAGAAAGACUUGCGGGUUCUCUACUCUAUCUCAUGAGCUUGUAUUCCUGAGGACAAUGACCCACAUCCUCCCUUUUCACCUCAUUAGACCCCAUUAAAACAUAACUUAUUGGUAUCAUCUGGAGCUUCGGAGCAUUGUUCAAAGUAGCUCCAUUUCUUUCUCCCCCCACUUUAAAUGAGUUUGAAACAGUAAUUUCAAUUAAAAUUAGAAACCAUAAUUUUAGAAUACGACUAGAACUGCAGUUUUAAGGCGCAAAACUUUACAAGUCAUAGCUUCUAGAUGUAAAUAUAAUAUAUUGGCCAAAAAGUCCACAUGAAGCAAAACUACUUUUCAUAUAUGUUUACAUUUUAAAUACUUUUAGAAUCUAAUUCCAAGUAAAUUGAUAGACUUUACUGAAUUUCUUUGAAAGAAAAGUUUGUCCAAAUAAAUUUAUCAAAGUUAAAAAUCGAGAAAAAUUAUUUUGAGUAUCAUUAAUAUAAAAACAACAAAUUUACCAUGUUUUGUCUUAUAUUUUGAAACUUUUAAAAAUGAUAUGUUUUUUAUAUUUAGUGAAAUUUUUGCAUAGCUAAGAUAACAUAUAGGACAUUUGAAAACUCUCAAUUAGGCCAUGUUAUCUAAACCUUUAAAAGAAGUAAAAUUUUAAAUUCAAAAAUUACAAAAUAAAGUAUUAUGCUAUUGUUAUUAUUUGGAAAUAUAUAUUUAAAUAAAAAAAUUUGUCGUUACUUGUACAUUAAAAUUAAAAUUUUUGAAUAUGAAAAUAAAUGAUUAACGUACCAUAUUACACAUUAUAUUAUUAUCCUUUAAUUUACAUUUCAAAUUCUAGAUUUAUGGGUUAAUCCCAUUGUAUUAUAACUAAACCAUAGUUCAAGAAAUUGGGGUGUGAUAGCAACAUAGGUACAAAGUUGACAAAGCCUAUAACCAAACACUUGAUAUCUAUUAUAGUAACCUUGAAUAAAAGGACUUGCUAGAAAGAUGGUGAGUUGGCUACUCAUCUUGAUCGAAUGUGAAAUCGCUAUCUCAAAUAGGUAAAAUAUAAAGCCACUAAGACAAUGAUAGACAAAGGAAGUUGAUUUAGAAAAAUAUAAAGACAAAGAUAAAAGUAUUGGAAGUACUAGGUGUGGGGACUCCUCUCCACGUGUCACAUUUCCUCGGUAUUGCUCGGAUAACUGCCACAGUGUUCGGAACCUUCCAUCCGAACCACACAGACAUAUGGCAAAUGGCAUCGGACUCUCUAAGUGGACGACACUUUCCAGCCAGCCUUUAAGUCCCCCUUGCUACAUGUAAUCAUUUCCAUCUAACAUGGAAGUGGUUGAUGGGAUCUCCCCCAAUCCUCACAUCCAUGUCAAUUAAUUAUCACGCACUACCCCAUACCUCCAGCAAGUUGAAGGGACGGACAAGUGCAUGAUUUAACAUCAUGACACAACUUCUAAUGGCACUUGCAGGCUGCCCAAAAUUGUAAUGAUUGCCUUACUACCUACAGGGCAACCAUCAUUAUAGAGAAGGUCAAAGUGUUUAGUUAACACUACAGUAGCUUUCUUCUAAGCACUAUAAAAAGUUCCCCCUGAAGCAUAAUUUAGGUACAUGCACUAGAACUGACCCACUCAUUCUCUCCCUGAAAGAGUUUGACUUGUCUUUGUCUAACUUAAGUUUCGGAGGGGCGUGCUCGGACCACUUGUCCGAACAUCCUUUGUGUAGGGAAUAAGCUAUCACCUAGUUUCCCAUCAUUAGGCAAGAGCUCUGAGGGGCACAACUCAAGGAGGAUCUAACCUCAGUUGACCCUGCAUCAACACUACGAUUUAUGGCUUUAUUAAAAUUUAAAAUGAAUAAAAAAGGCUCAAAAGAAUUACAUUUCUAAAAACAUAUAUAAAAGAAAGUUGCUCAGUUGGAUGCCGUAUAGUUUGCCCUCUAUUAUUGAGUCUACCUCAAGAGUUAGACAAUCAGACUUCUCACCAAAAAAACAUUAGAGAGUUAUGAUGCGAAAGUCUAAGGAUAAUAUCUUUACAAUAAAAUAUUUUUAAAUAAAAUUUAACAACAAACUUAACUUGAGAAAGCCUUAUAUGAACUAUGAUAACAUACUUGAAAUAUUUUAAUAGAAACAUACAAUCAACAUCAAUAUAAAUGUUUGCAAUCACAUGAAUUAUGGAAAUGUAUUAUCAAUUAUGCUCCUUAAUUUGAUCAUAUCACAACUAGUUAAAUUGAAAUAAUUGGUUGCCAUGACACCCAUCCAUUUCAACAUGAUUAUUAGAUAAAUAGACAUAAUUACCAUACUGACCAUCUCACGACAUAAAGAUCUACAUAGAAAAAAUAAAAGGGCAAGAUAACAUUUCAUGUAAAUUUGUUCAUAUUUCAUAAUAACCAUAAUUCAUAAUCAUGGUAAAAUAAUAUCUUCAAAAUGGACUAUUGUACUAUUGGGAUUGAACCUCUAAAAACAAAACAUAAUGUAAUAAAGUUAGACUUCAUUAUCACUAGGUUAUUCAUUUUCUUUCAUUGACAUUGAUUUGAGGAUUCAACUUAUAUCUCUUACAUUGUAUAUGACUUGGAUGUAUUAAAAGUUGUACGGAUGAUACAAAUCAUAGGUUCUUUGUUAGUAGAUAAGUUGUUCAUAGCCAGUUCAUGGAUUUAGGCAAUCUAAUAAAGACAUAGUGUACUACCUUCUAAUUGGAAGGAUGACUUGUCUUGACCAUCAAGAUGUAUUUCCUAUAGUGAGUGCACUACUGUAUGCGAUGCACAUUGGACAAAACCUAUAGUGAAUCAUGAUAUAAGGCUAUCGAUUGUCAUGAUUCACCAAAUUACUAUACUACAUGGACUCUCAACCUUAAGAGGAUAUUAAGUUUAUGUUAAAGUCAACAGGAGACUUUGGCCUAUGGAUAAGUGUAGACUCUCUAUUUUGUCAUCUUAGCAAUAUUCCAUCUAGGAUUGCCUUCCUACAUCCCUUGAUGUCCUAUUGUACACUUAUGGAAAUUUUCUGAGCUAUUUUUUAGUCUUGAUUGGUGGUCCAAUGUGACUUUUUGGUCACUAUCUUUGGAAAUAUAUUAGGGAAUUUUUUAGGGAUCCUCAAUGUGACUGCUUUGUGACCUUUGAUAUUUUAGGAUUUUGUUUGAUUGAGUUUCUUUUAGUAUAUUAAGAUAUGACAUCUAGUUUUAGGAUUAGAUGAGUUUGAGUUUUUUUUUUGUUGUGUGAGGGCUAUUUGAUUGCAUGAGAUUUGGCUUUCGAUCUUUGGUUACAUAUGAGUGGUACUCUAAUUUGUGAUUUUAUGAGUUUUGAUUUUGAAAUGUGAAAAUUAAUUUUGGUCUAUUUUAUGAUUUUGGUCCUUGAAUUUCAAGUUGCAUGAGUUUUGUUUUUUUGUUUUCCUUUUCUUCCUCUUAAUUUUGUGUGGCAUGAAGAUUAACCAUUGAACUUUAUAUAAGUAAUUUUUUUAGAUAAUAGUGGAUCAUUGGCAUAUUUAUUUACAUUUUUUGUGAGGUCAUAAGAAAUGAAGGUUGGCGAGGACUAUACAACAAACUUAAGUCUUCCUUGCUUGGAAUUGCUGCUUCAUGGGUGACUAACAAAAGGAUCAUUAUGGUUUUUCAAGUUGGAUGUGGAACAUGGAUCAAAAGGAGAGUCAAACUUGAAAAUCAUAUCACCAUACAUUUGGAGAAGGGAAAGGACUUCAGCCAGGAGGAUCAUGUGGCAUUAAAGGCUUCUCCAUUAUGCCAUCACGUGUCAACCAUGAAAGAGGAUUCCAUUAAAAGGAAUCAACUAGGGUCACUUGCAUGCAUUAGGGGUGUACAUCACAACCUCACAAGAUCUUUAUUCAGGGGUUCUAGAAAUCUCCAGGAGCUUCAAGAGGAUCAAGGAAGAGUCACACAAUUGGAGUGGAUGAGGUCGUGCAUUAGGAGAGAGUUCUCGGGAGCAUGCAUUUGAACCAUUUCUUCGAUUUUUUGAGGGAAGCUACAACUGUCUUGAGAGGAUUUUGGAGGUUUCAUUUAUUGUUAGAGAAGGAUAAUGAACUAAACAUUUUUCUUCUAGGGUUCUAGGAGGAUUAGGGGCUUCUGAUAAUUGUCCAACUUUGUAGCUUACCAUCUUCACACCGACAUUUUUGAGGAAGAUCUCCAUUGAUGCAUAUUGGUUCUGGAGAGCUUCAACAGAGAAUAUGUCAUUCUUUGUAAUAGUGAGCACCAUUUUUUUCAUAGAUGAACAUCACAUACAUCUCCAUAAUGACAUUGAUAAGAGAAUCAUCAGAGAUGUCAUAGCUUGAGGUCAUGAAUUUCUACAUCGAAUCAUCACCAUUACGCGAUGACAAUUAGAGAAAGCAAUCACCGAUCUUGGGAGAAAAUUAUAUUUGCUUCUUCUAACAACUUGUAACGCCUCAAAUUCUUGGGAACCCAACAUUUGAAUCAUGACCCUAGGUCAAAUGUUUGACCCUAAGGAUUACUCCCAUCCAUGCUGACAGUCAAUUCUGAUAACUUGAUUUUUCUUGAAUAAAUAAACAUCUAAUCCCAAAUAAAUUUAUUAAGUUAAGAUAUACUAUAUGAUUUUUUUUUUUCCUAAACCAACCAUCACCUUUUCAGAAGUACAAUAAAUCCACCUAUUAAUCUUACUGUCCAAGAUGAUAACCCAAAUAUUUACACUAGUCUCUAAGCAAAAAAAUAUUUCUAAAAAUAUUUUACGAACUAACAAAGUAUAAUUUAAGUUAUAAAAGUUCAUAUAACUCAAAUUAGUACAUGCCAAAAGGUAAUAUAAAUUAAAAACAACCGUUAUUAUUAUUAUUAUUAUUAUUAUUAUUAUUUACUUUCUGAGACUUUUUGGAACAUUUUUUGAUCUUCUUGUGGUUCCUAAAAAACUAUAUCUGCACCUAAAAAUUUUAGAAAAUAAAGAGGUGAACAUUUUUACAUUGCUCAGUAGGGUGUUUUAUACCCAAAUGAGCUAGAAAUUCUAAGUCAAUAAAAUACAAUUAUAUGUCAAACUAUAAUAUUACAUUUACAUUAUAUACAUUAAAUGAAACAUCAACCAUACAAAUUUAAACUGAUCAAAAUUAUCACUUUUUUUAUUCAAUCAUAUGUCUAGCAUAUCAACAAUUCUAAAUUUACAAAAUAAAUUAGUCAUUUUAGUCUCGAAUAAUAUAUUCAAACAUACAAUUGAUAAAUAAUACAAAUCCUUCUUUCAAAUGUAAUCAUGAUGCAAAUGCUUACACGUAAUCAAACAAUGUGUUGUUGUUCUCGGGCCUUCACCAAAGAAUACGCAUUUCUACCCAAAUACACUCCCUAUUCGAAGCUUUUUUGGGGUAAACUUUUAGAUAUUUUACCUUAGGGAUUUCAUCUCCUUUUUAAUUCGCUCUUUCUAGGGUCCUUCCAUUUCUCAUUUUUUAUUUUCUUUUCAUUUUUGCCAUUUUCGGGGUCUUUUCAUUCUUGUUUCCAUUUCACACAACCAUUUCUUCAAUUUUUUUUUCUUUCGCACGCUCAUGAUGCAUAUGAAAUACAAUAAACUCACAUGUUAUCAUCCACAAUUUCCCAAGAUAUAAUUUUAUUUACUCCAAACAUGCUCAAUAAUUUCCAAUAAUCAACACAACCAUUUUUCUUUAGUUAAAUCACCACAAACCUCUAAAUAAUAAUAAUAAUAAUAAUAAAUUAAUCAUAAUAGUAACCAUAUUCCAAAUAGCAUAAAGAACAAUCCAAAAAGCAUGUUGUGGACCCCACAUUUGCUUAAUGUGUUCCCACUAGAUGGCGAAAACUUGCUUUUUUAUUUUGUUUCGUGAAAAUUUGAUUUUUAGAAAAAGACUUGGAGUCGCCACUUAAUUUUGUUUUAUUUUUAAAGAAAAAAACAAAAUAAGAAAGAAAAACCCUAAGUGUAACUCCUGAAGGAAAAAACGGGUCUGUGAAAAACCAAGUCUAGGUACCCUGUCAGGUUACUUAUUGGGAAGGUACGGUGGUGAGCCGUAGCACCCUUCUAAGCCCGCGUAUGUACGACCUCUACUAAACGAAUUGAGAAAAUUGUGGCAAUUAAUUAAUUAAUUAUGGAUACCAAGAAAAAUAAUCAAUAUACAAGUCAUGGUGAAAAUUAAUAUGCACAAAAACAAUGAUGAAAUCUAAUUACAAAAAUAUACAAAAUAAAUAAUAAGAGGAUUAUGCAAAAUGAUUUAUUGAAUUAAAUAAAUAAAAGAUAUUUAAAAAAAGUUUUAAAGAAAUUUCAAAGGAUUCUAUUGAAAAUGAUUUUGAAUUAGUGAUUUCCAUUUAUUUACUUAUAAAAAAAUCAAUUUAUUCUCUCAAUUUUAGUUGUAUUCAAUUAAAAAAAAAAACUAUUUACACUUAUUGUAUCAAAAGAAUUUAUUACAAAAUUUCAAUUUGAGCACAAAAAUUAUUUUUACUUGCUUUUACUAGAAAAUAUUGAGUUUUUACAAUUUUAUUUACAAAAAUAUUUAGAUUCAUUUUCAUUUAAAAGAGUGAUUUUUUAUAAAUUAUUUAAAAUGACACAACUUUAUUUGCAAAAGAAAUUUUAAUUAAAAGGAAAAACAAAGAUUUAAAUUCUCUAUUUCUAAAAAACACUUUUAAUCUCGUUUUAAUUAAGGAAAAAAAAGAAUUCGUUUAAAAAAAAUAUUUUUAGACAAUUUUACUAAAAAUUAAUUUUUGGGACAUCUUUAUUUACAAAACAAUUUUUGGACAAUUUUUAUUAAACAAAGAAGUUUUUUUUAACAGUGUCAUUAAAAACAAUUUUUUUGGAUUUUUCUAAAUGUUUUUUUUUUUCUGAAUUUUCAUAAAAAAAACUUUCUUUUAUUAAAAAUGAUAUUUUGAAAUUAGUAUUUUAUUAGAACAUAUUUACUGAAUUCUUCCUCCCAUUUAAACAAAAUUUCUAAUUUGUUCGAUAUUCAAUUCUGUACACACUCAAUAAAUAUAAAUGAACAAAUAUUUACAAGAGUUAAUUAAAAUAAAACCAAAUAAAAGUGGUAAACAAAAUAUGUACCCAAACAAACUUACAACAAGCUCCACGUGUUAUCAAUUCGUACUCAGCCAACCAGAUUCCAGAAUGAGUCAAUGCAAAAGCAAAAACAGCGCAAAUGUAAAUAUCUAGAUAUGUAUAAAAUCCCAAACAAAUAUUCAAACCUAAAUCCCAAUUUCAAAUUAGUCCCAUAAAUUUUGUCAAUUUAAAAUGAGCCCAAAUUACUAUAGGUCUUAACGCGGAACAUCCAAAUUAAUAAUAAAAAAUACAAACAUAAUCAACCAAACUUAAAAUUUGAUAAAUUAAAAUAAAUUCUACUAGACCUAAAUUUAAUAUUUUAUAAUCUAAGUCUAAUUUAAUAUACACCACAAUUGUCCUAUGUCCAAAUUAAACAAUUCAAAUUGGCCAAGCCUAUAUCAAAUAUUCAAAUAAUCCAACAAAUCCCACCCAUAUUAUGGCCCCAAAAUCCACAUCAAUUAAUAAGUCCACAUAAAAAAAAAUACAUGAUCAAGAGCAUGGAUUGAAAAAUCGGAAAAUGUCGCCGAUAUUUCGUCGAAAUAUCGGUUAUCGGGCGGCAUGGAAACGAUAAACGGCACCGAUUAUCGAUCGACGGAAAAAUCGGCCAAAAAUCGACAAAAUCUCCGAUAUAUCGGCGAAAUAUCGGUGAAGCACCGAAAAAUUGGAGAAAAAUCGCGAUAUUUCCUACCAGUCCAGCCCGCGCAGUUGUGUUUUUCAGCCUGGCUCAAAAAUCGUGGAUUUAGGGUUCGUGAAAUUUAAAUCCAAUGGCACAACAGCAAAGAGACCCCUAAAACAGAUCCAGAAAACACAGGGAGCAAAAGAAAAGCAAUUUUUUUGGUUUUCUUUGGGAGUUUUGAAUGGAUUUUCUCGGAAAUCAAACGAGGAUGAAUUUUCCCGGAAAUCGAAUGGGGAUGGAUUUUCUUGGGAAUCAAAUGGGGGUUGCAAAAAAAAAAAAAAAUAAUAACAUGAUUAGAUUAGUACCUGCGAGGAUUGAGAUUUGAGAGUAGCAGAGGAAAAUAGGGCUUUUUAGGGAUUCUCUCGCUGGAAGACACCUUCAGAAAAGGGUUCUUGAUGCCCGAGAGAGAAGUGGGUGCCUUUUUUAUUUUUUUUUAUUUUUAGAUUUAGGGGAGAUAAAAAAAUAAAAAAUAAAAAAUAAAAAAAACAUGAGAACAAUUUUCUAUAAAUAAUUAUUAAUUUUCAACUUUUAUUUGGAUUAUUAAAUAAAUUUAUAUUAAUAAAAAAAGUUGUUAUCACAUUUUUUAAUAAAUUUUAAAAAUUAAAUCUCAAAUAAGAUAUUUUAUAUAAAUUAANNNNNNNNNNNNNNNNNNNNNNNNNNNNNNNNNNNNNNNNNNNNNNNNNNNNNNNNNNNNNNNNNNNNNNNNNNNNNNNNNNNNNNNNNNNNNNNNNNNNNNNNNNNNNNNNNNNNNNNNNNNNNNNNNNNNNNNNNNNNNNNNNNNNNNNNNNNNNNNNNNNNNNNNNNNNNNNNNNNNNNNNNNNNNNNNNNNNNNNNNNNNNNNNNNNNNNNNNNNNNNNNNNNNNNNNNNNNNNNNNNNNNNNNNNNNNNNNNNNNNNNNNNNNNNNNNNNNNNNNNNNNNNNNNNNNNNNNNNNNNNNNNNNNNNNNNNNNNNNNNNNNNNNNNNNNNNNNNNNNNNNNNNNNNNNNNNNNNNNNNNNNNNNNNNNNNNNNNNNNNNNNNNNNNNNNNNNNNNNNNNNNNNNNNNNNNNNNNNNNNNNNNNNNNNNNNNNNNNNNNNNNNNNNNNNNNNNNNNNNNNNNNNNNNNNNNNNNNNNNNNNNNNNNNNNNNNNNNNNNNNNNNNNNNNNNNNNNNNNNNNNNNNNNNNNNNNNNNNNNNNNNNNNNNNNNNNNNNNNNNNNNNNNNNNNNNNNNNNNNNNNNNNNNNNNNNNNNNNNNNNNNNNNNNNNNNNNNNNNNNNNNNNNNNNNNNNNNNNNNNNNNNNNNNNNNNNNNNNNNNNNNNNNNNNNNNNNNNNNNNNNNNNNNNNNNNNNNNNNNNNNNNNNNNNNNNNNNNNNNNNNNNNNNNNNNNNNNNNNNNNNNNNNNNNNNNNNNNNNNNNNNNNNNNNNNNNNNNNNNNNNNNNNNNNNNNNNNNNNNNNNNNNNNNNNNNNNNNNNNNNNNNNNNNNNNNNNNNNNNNNNNNNNNNNNNNNNNNNNNNNNNNNNNNNNNNNNNNNNNNNNNNNNNNNNNNNNNNNNNNNNNNNNNNNNNNNNNNNNNNNNNNNNNNNNNNNNNNNNNNNNNNNNNNNNNNNNNNNNNNNNNNNNNNNNNNNNNNNNNNNNNNNNNNNNNNNNNNNNNNNNNNNNNNNNNNNNNNNNNNNNNNNNNNNNNNNNNNNNNNNNNNNNNNNNNNNNNNNNNNNNNNNNNNNNNNNNNNNNNNNNNNNNNNNNNNNNNNNNNNNNNNNNNNNNNNNNNNNNNNNNNNNNNNNNNNNNNNNNNNNNNNNNNNNNNNNNNNNNNNNNNNNNNNNNNNNNNNNNNNNNNNNNNNNNNNNNNNNNNNNNNNNNNNNNNNNNNNNNNNNNNNNNNNNNNNNNNNNNNNNNNNNNNNNNNNNNNNNNNNNNNNNNNNNNNNNNNNNNNNNNNNNNNNNNNNNNNNNNNNNNNNNNNNNNNNNNNNNNNNNNNNNNNNNNNNNNNNNNNNNNNNNNNNNNNNNNNNNNNNNNNNNNNNNNNNNNNNNNNNNNNNNNNNNNNNNNNNNNNNNNNNNNNNNNNNNNNNNNNNNNNNNNNNNNNNNNNNNNNNNNNNNNNNNNNNNNNNNNNNNNNNNNNNNNNNNNNNNNNNNNNNNNNNNNNNNNNNNNNNNNNNNNNNNNNNNNNNNNNNNNNNNNNNNNNNNNNNNNNNNNNNNNNNNNNNNNNNNNNNNNNNNNNNNNNNNNNNNNNNNNNNNNNNNNNNNNNNNNNNNNNNNNNNNNNNNNNNNNNNNNNNNNNNNNNNNNNNNNNNNNUCCUCAUCAUCAAGUGAUAUCAUGACAAUUUCAAAGCUCUCCCCCUUUGCCCUUAAUUUCUCGUAAACAUCCACUAGCGUUGGAGUAAAUUCAAGGCAUGCCUUGUAGGAAGACAAUGAGAAAAACAGCCCAACGAACUUCCCUUCUAGUUCAGACACAGGCACCUUGUAUUGAAAUAGUUCAAGAAAAAAUUCAGACCAGGAAGAAACAAUAUAAAUCAUGUUCAAAUUCGUAGAUAUGAGAAUAUAUAUUUCUUAAAUAACUCACCUUCUUUCCAUCAGUUGAAAUUACAUAGUCACGGGACUGAGAGACUAAGAUGGAUCUCAAGGAUUGUUCCUUCCUGGCUGUUUCUUCCUUCUCUUUCAUUUCUUUGAUCUUUUCAGGAGUGAAAGGAUAAGCUUCCACUCCAUACUCUUGUAUGAUAUCAACCCCAUCUUCGCUCAAAACCUUGCCAGAUUCAUCAAGCAUCACAAGGUUUGGAAUCCCCAUCACCUUGAACAGUUCAUUCAACUGAUCUCGUGCAUCUGAAUCAGAAAAUGGGAUUGCGAGCCAAGGCAUCUUGGAGAAAUAUCCAUGGAACGACUCAUCAUCAUUAUCACCUGAAACAAAGAUGAUUUCAAAAUCAUCGUUGGAGGAGAGUUCAUUGUAGGCCUCAACUAAUUUAGGGGUGAACCGCCGACAUGGCCCACACCAUGAUGCUGAAAAAUAUAGCCAAAUUUUCUUCCCCUUCAAACUCUCAACUUUAACCUGCAAAACACAGAAUUUAGGCCCAUUAAACCCUUUGCUGCUCAAAACUGUUAACAAUAGUUACGACUCUUGGUUAAUUGGGUCCGGCUUCUUUUUCCCCCCUUAAUCAGAACCUGUUUCAGCUCCUUUUUCAUUAGAAACGCAUAGUUCCUUUCAAGCUUUCUUUUACGGUAGAAUAAAAACAGAGAAGAUGGGAAAUACCUGGUGGCCAUUGUUGCGGACAAGAAAGUCCCGAUCCUCUCUUGUGAGAAGCGAAACCAAAUCGUGAGCAACGCCAUCAACGUUUUCGCUAUCCAUGUCUUCUGAUUUUGAUCACAAAUUUUUAGCCUGUGCCUUUGCACUUUGGUGCCCAGCUUUUAUAGCAUCUAAGUCGAAUAGGAUUAAGCCAUCCAGCAGCCUUAAGAGUGAAGAAAACCAAAGUUGACGUUGGUGGUGUACGUCAGAUGCCCAACGUCAGAUGCCCAACGUCAGCGUGGGCCGCGGUCCCCUCUAGGGAAAAAGUUUAGAUAAGGAGAUAAGUAUUGAAGAAAGACGUGUUUUUUCAUCCGACCUCAUGAGCUUGUGUUCCUGAUGACAAAGACCCACAGUCCGUCUUUCACCUCAUUAGACCCCAUUAAAACAUAAACGAAAAGAAAAAACUGAGAAGCAUCUUGGAAGAUGCCCAUGAAAAGUGGCACGAACUUAUUUAAUUGCUCUCAUGGGUAAGAAUGAAAAGAUUUUUAGUUAUUAUUUUAUAGUUCUUUUACUCAAGUAAUUGAGCUUAGAUUGAGCAUAAUGCUCCGUACCUUGUUAGCAUAAAUUUUCAUUUCUUAAUAAUUAAACAAAGAUAUUUUCUGUUUGAAAAAACUUAAGCUUGAUCUAUGCAAGAACACAAACAUUUAAAGAUAUGACUCUGUUGGAUCAUAUAGAAUACACAUAUUUUACUGCCCUAGGUAAAUCUUUAUGAUCUAAGGAGGACUUCCGAGCAAAGUACCUUUCACUCGGCUUUGGUUGGAGCAAUGAGUGGUCAGGGAAAGUUGAUGGAAUCUCACAUCUCUCCUUGACCUAUAGUUGGUUUUGACAAUGAACCUUGGAUGGAAAGUUUUGGUAUAAAAGUUAAAAACAUCAUCUUGCCAGCGCAUCCUUUCCUGGUGGGGAAUUGAACCUGGACUCAUGGUUAACAAAAUGAGUAGUACACCACUAUGCCAAACAACAUUUAAUUAAUAAUUUGGUAAAUAUCUAUAGAUCUGUUUUUUUAAAUUUUUAUCACAUAAAACAUUUAAACAAAUAUAAAUAUUUAUAUCUACUAUUAUUUUUAUAAUAAUGAUUAAUUAUAAGCAUGAAAAUAAUAUAAAUUAAUCAAUAUAAUAAUUUAUUAAAAUAUAAAUUAUAUAUUUAUGAUGUUACUUAUUUGACCGUGAUUUGACCAUUACUUCAAUCAGUGAACUGAUAACUUUUUCGAUUCAAUGUUCAGUCUGAUUUUGAAAACAUUGAGAAAAAACUCACUCUUAUGGAUUUUUUAUCACCUUACUUUAUUUAUUUUUUCUUAUUUUUAGUUUUAGGAGUAGGAGUAGGAUUAACUUAGUUUAGUUUAAUUUUAGUUUCAGUUGUAAUAUUUAAUUUUUAUAUAAUCUUUCAUUAUUAAUUUUCAUAGUAAUGAGCUUUUAAUUUUUAGUUAAUUUCAAUUUCAAAGUUUAGUUUUAAUUUCUAGCUUUCUUAUGGUUUGAGUUUCUAGAAAUUUUAUUUCUUUGCACCUUUACUUUCUUCUAGACUUUACAUUUCUUUCUUGUCUUCAAUUUCAUCACGUUUAGCACCAAGGGAUAAGUGUGUAGACCCCUUAAAAGACUAAGGGUUUUUCCAGUUGGUUUUUGGGACCACUCGGGUGAUUUUUUUUGAAGUGAGGAGGGGACCCCUUUUCUAUAAAUUCUUUUUGUGAUAAGUAAACCCUUCCUUACUAAGUUGUGGCUCAUCACUUUUAUAAAAAUGGUUUUCUACAAACCAAAUUGGAAAAGAGCAUGUUGAGGUUGUGCUCUAGUUUAGGAUAAAAAAGACUGUAUAUUUUAUAUAUAGAAGUUUGAUGAUGGAAGAGUUUUGUAAUAUGUAAAGAUGUAUCUAAACACUUGAAUGGGCGUAUAGUGUUUAAUAGAAUGAAUAAAAAUGCAAGUUUUAGUAUUUUUGGUUUGGAAAUGUUUUGAUUAUUUUUGGGUAUUCAAAUAUAUAGAUUUAAUUUACUUAUGGUAGUACAAAAAUCAUUUAAUGGUGUUAAGGGGUUUUUAAUGGAGAAAAAACUAAGUUUUAGAUAAUUGAAAAGCACUAAGGUGGUGUUUGUUUUUUGGCUGAAUAGAAAAGGCCAAAUAUUUUGGCUUUUUCUAUUCAGCUAAAAGUAAUUUGUUGACAUCAUCCAACAUAACUAAAGUGAAUUUAUUAUUAAUAGGUUCAGUUUAGUUAUAUUGGAUGGUAUCAAUAAAUUACUUUUAACUGAAUAGAAAAAGCCAAAUAUUUUAGCUUUUUCUAUUCAGCCAAAAAACAAACACCACCUAAGUUAAAAACAAGGGAGAAAAUAGUGCAAGUAAGCUUGGGUAUGGGUGCAUUAAUUGAAGGUGCACAAAGUUAUUUUAUUUUUGAGGUUGAAAAAUAUGCAUUGUUUAAAUUGGAGUGUGCUAGAGAGAUGCACAAUAUUAUUUGGAGGUGUGUUGUGAUUGAAGUACACAAUUUGUGGUUUAUUUAAAAGUGCACUAUUGAAGUGCAAAGGAGAGGUACACAAUUUGAUUUUGAGGUGUGCUAUUUUGAGAAGUGUGUUAUUUGAGUUUAGUUGAAGAUGCAUUAUUUAAGUUACAAGUGUGUAUAAUAGGUGUGCUAUUUUAAUUUGGGGAGGUGCACUAAUGCAAUUUGAGUGUGCUAUUGGACAUUGACACACAAUUUAGAGACUCAAUGCACCAUUGGUGAUCUAGGUGUGCAGGUUGGUUAAGUGUGCUAUGUUAUGCGCUGUGUUAGAGGCAUGUUAAGUGCACUAUGUGUGAUCUAGGUGCACAGGUUGGUUAAAUGCAUUAUGUGGUGUGCUAUAUUGGAAGUGCGCUAUGUGGUGUACUCUGUUGGAGGUGCAUUAAGUGCACUAUUUGGGGUGUGUUGUGUGGUGUUUAUUUAUUCUGUCUAUGGUGUUUAUUUACUUUGUCUUUUGCUUAUUUAUAUUUACAUUGUAAAUAUUUAAAUGAUUGUUCAUUUACUUUAAAUUUAUAAUAUAAAUAACAAAAUACCCAUCAUUUGAAUCCUGUAAAAAUACUUUCAAAAUCUAGUUCUAAGUAAAUUAAAAUUUGAUUUUCCAUUUUUAGUUAUAAAUUGACAAACUUUAUUGAAUUUCUUUGAAAAAAAAAAGUUUGCUUAGGUAAAUUACUAAAAAUUAAAAACUUAGAAAAAAUUAUUUUGAGUAUCACCAACAUGAAAACAAAAAAUUAUGUCACUUUUUAUCUUAAAUGUUGAAACUUUUAAAAAUGGCUUAUUUUUCAUACUCGGUGAAAGUUUUGCACAACUAAGACAACAUACAAGACACAUUUGAAAGCUCUCUACUAGACAAUGUUAUCUAAACUGUAAAAGUAAAAUUUUUAAAUCUAGAAAUUGCAAAAUAAAGUAUUCUUUUAUUGUUAUCAUUUAGACAUAUAUAUAUAUAUAUAUAUAUAUUUAAGUAGUUGUUAUUUGUACAUUAGAAUUAAAAUUUUUGAAUAUGAAAAUAAAUGAUUAAUCCACCAUAUUCGACAUAUUAUAUUAUGAUUCUUUAAUUCACAUUUCAAAUUUUAGAGUUAUGGGUUAACCCCGUUGUAUUAUAAUUAAACUAUUGUUUUAGAAAUUGGGGUGUAACAACACAAUAGGUACAAAGUUGAUAGAACUUAUAACCAAAUGUUUUAUAUAAAUUAUAGAAACCUUGAUUGAGAGGGCUUCCUUGAAAGAUAGUAAAUUCACUUCUCAUCUUGAUUGAAUGUGAAAUUGCUAUCUUAAAUAGAUGAAAUAUGAAGCAACUAAAAUAAGGAUAAGUAAACAAAGGAAGUUGAUUUAAAACAGAUUAAGACGAAGAUAAAAAUUAUUGGAAGUACUAGGUAUUAUGGCUUUAUUAAAAGCUCUCAAAAGAAUUACACAUCCAAAUACAUAUAUAAAAGAAAGUUGCUCAGUGAGAUGCCUUAUGGCUUUCUCUCUAUUACCAAAUCUACCUCAAGAGUUGGGUAUUCAUACGUCUUACCUUAAAAAACAAAAAAUCCAAUAAGUAGUUAUGAUGCCAAAGUCUAAGGAUAAUAUCUUUACAGUAAAAAUAAUUUUAAACAAAGUUUAAUAAUAAACUUGACUUGAGAAAACUUUAUAUAAACCAUGAUAACAUACUUGAAAUAUUUUAAUAGAAACAUGGAAUUAACAGUUAUAUAUAUGUUUGCACUCAUAUGAAUUAUGAAAAUGUAUUAUCCCUCAUGCUCCUCAAUUUGUUCAUAUCAUAACUAGUUAAUUUGAAAUAAUCAACUACUAUGACACACAUCCAUUUCAACAUGAUUAUUAGAUAAAUAGAAAUAAUUACUACAAUUCCUCUCUAUCUCACAACUUGAAGAUCUAUGUAGAAAAAAAAAAAGCAAGAUAACAUUUCAUGUAAAUUUGUUUAUAUUUCAUAAUAACUAUAAUUUGUAAUCAUGGUAAAAUAAUAUCCUCAAAAUAGACUGUUGUACAACAUAGGUUAAUCCCAUUAUAUAAAGAACUUUCCAUUGGGUGUAUAGAUAGUGCUUAUUAGUCUUUAAAUAGCAAACACUGAGGGAUUGUCUAGUUGGCAUUUUUGAAAACAGUUUUGGAAAACAGUUUUUAAGAACGGUUUUUAAGAAUAGAUUUUUGUGUUUUCAGAAACAAAAUUAUGUUUGACAACUAAAUUUUGAAAAAUUUAAAAAAAAAAUGUUUGAUUGAGUUAAUAAAAACAAUUUUUCGAAAUAAGUAAAAAAAAAAAAGUUGUAUUUUUUUUAAUUAAGUUUUUUUUCCAAUAAACUUAACAUUGUAAAUAUAUAAAUAUUUUUUUCACUUACUUUUUUUCUCAUCUUUUGAGUAUUCAUUGGAUAACUCUCCCUUCAUAUCACCUUUCUUAGUCUGAAAAAUAGAGCCACUUCUCUAUAUGUUUUUCAUAAUCCCUCAAAAUAGUCAUGUUUUUCUCUGUUAAUAUAAAGAACAUGUCAUCAUUGUCAUCAUCAAUUGCGACAAGCAAGUUUGCAAUGAUGUUGCAUCAAAACAAAUAUAAGAUCACACUUAUUCUCAUCUAUGAUGUUCUUGAAUGGAUUUUGAUCAUUCUUCUAACUUGCAAAAUUUUAAAAGAAGUAAAGUUUUAAAUUCAAAAAUUGUAAAAUAAAGUAUUCUGCUAUUGUUAUUAUUUGGAAAUAUAUAUUUAAAUAAAAAAAAUUGGUCGUUACUUGUACAUUAAAAUUAAAAUUUUUGAAUAUGAAAAUAAAUGAUUAACUUACCAUAUUACACACAUUGUAUUAUUAUCCUUUAAUUUACAUUUCAAAUUCUAGACUUAUGGGUUAAUCUCAUUGUAUGAUAACUAAAUCAUAGUUUAUGAAAUUGGGAUGUGAUAGCACCAUAGGUACACAGUUGACAGAACCUAUAACCAAACACUUGAUAUCAAUUAUAGUAACCUCGAAUAAAAGGACUUCCUAGAAAGAUGGUGAGUUGGCUUCUCAUCUUAAUAGAUGAUGAAAUCGCUAUCUCAAAUAAGUAAAAUAUAUAGCCACUAAGACAAUGAUAGACAAGGGAAGUUGAUUUAGAAAAAUAUAACGAUUAAGAUAAAAGUAUUGGAAGUACUAGGUCAAAAGAAUUACAUUUCUAAAAACAUAUAUAGAAGAAAGUUGCUCAGCUGGAUGCCCUAUGACUUGCCCUCUAUUAUCGAGUCUACCUUAAGCGGUAGGCAAUCAAACUUCUCACCUAAAAAACAUUAGAGAGUUAUGAUGUGAAAGUUUAAGGAUAAUAUCUUUACAAUAAAAAUAUUUUUAAAUAAAAUUUAACAACAAACUUAACUAUAGAAAGCCUUAUAUGAACUAUGAUAACAUUCUUGAAAUAUUUUAAUAGAAACAUACAAUCAACAUCAAUAUAAAUGUUUGCAAUCACAUGAAUUAUGGAAAUGUAUUAUCAAUUGUGCUCCUUAAUCUGAUCAUAUCACAACUAGUUAAAUUGAAAUAAUAAGUUGCUAUGACACCCAUCCAUUUCAACAUGAUUAUCAAAUAAAUAAGACAUAAUAAUUACCACAAUGACUAUCUCACAACAUAAAGAUCUAUGUAGAAAAAAUAAAAGGGCAAGAUAACAUUUCAUGUAAAUUUGUUCAUAUUUCAUAAUAACCAUAAUUCAUAAUCAUGGUAAAAUAAUAUCUUCAAAAUGGACUAUUGUACUAUUGGGAUUGAACCUCUAAAAACAAAACAUGAUGUAAUAAAGUUAGACUUCACUAUCACUAGGCUAUUCAUUUUCUUUCAUUAACAUUGACUUGCAUGUAUUAGAAGUUGUAUGGAUGAUACAAAUCAUGGGUUCUUUGUAAGUAGAUAAGUUGUUCAUAGCUAGUUCAUGGAUUUAGAGUAUAAUAAAGGCAUAGUGUACUAGCUCAUAAUUGGAAGAAUGACUUGUCUUGGCCAUUAGGAUGUAUUUCCCAUGGUGAGUGUACUAGUGUAUGUCAUACAUAUUGAAUAAGAUUUAUAGUGAAUUAUGAUAUAAGGCUAUCGAUUGUCAUGAUUCACCAAAUUACUAUACUACAUGGACUCUCAACCUUAAGAGGAUAUUAAGCCUAUGCUAAAGUCAAUAGGAGGCUUUGGCCUAUGGAUGGGUGUAGACUCUCUAUUUUGUCUUCUUAGCAUAUUCCAUCUAGGAUUGCCUUCUUACAUCCUUUGAUGUCCUAUUGUACACUUAUGGUAAUUUUCUGAGCUAUUUUUUCCUCUUAAUUUUGUGUGGCAUGAAGAUUAACCAUUAACCUUUAUAUAUUUAAUUUUUUUAGAUAAUAGUGGAUCAUUGAAAUAUUUAUUUACAUUUUUUGUGAGGUCAUAAGAAAUGAAGGUUGGCGAGGACUAUACAACAAACUUAAGUCUUCCUUGCUUGGAAUUGUUGCUUCAUAGGUGAACAAAAUGAUCAUUAUGGUUUCUCAUGUUGGCUAUGGAACAUGGAUCAAAAGGAGAGUCAAAUUUGGAUAUCAUCAUCACCAUACAUUUGGAGAAGGUAGAUGACUUCAGCUAGGAGGAUCAUGUGGCAUUAAAGGCUUCUCCAUUAUGCCAUCACAUGUCAACCAUGAAAGAAGAUUCCAUUAUGAGGCAUCAGCUAGGGUCACCUGUAUUCAUUUCGGGUGUACAUCACAGCCUCACAAGAUCUUUAUUAAGAGGUUUUAGAAAUCUCCAAGAGCUUCAGAAUGAUCAAGGAAGAGUCACACAAUUGGAGUGGAUGAAGUCGUGCAUUUGGAGAGAGUUCUUGGGAGCAUGCACUUGGACCAUUUCUUGGAUUUUUGGAGGGAAACUACAACUGUCUUGAGAAGAUUUUGGAGGUUUCAUUUCUUGUUAGAGAAGGAUAAUGAAUUGAACACUUUUUUUCUAGGGUUCCAGGAGGAUUAAGGGCUUCUAAUAAUCGUCUAGCUCUAUAGCUUACCAUCUUCACACCAACAUUUUUAAGGAAGAUCUCCAUUGAUGCAUAUUGGUUCUGGAAAGCUUCAACAAAGAAUGUGUCAUUCUUUGUAAUAGUGAGCACCAUUUUUUUCAUAGAUGAACAUCACAUACAUCUCAAUAUUGACAUUGAUAAGAGAAUCAUCAGAGAUGUCAUAGCUCAAGAUCAUGAAUUUCUACAUUGAAUCAUCACCGUUACGCGAUGACAAUUAGAGAAGGCAAUUACCGAGCUUGGGAGAAAAUUAUAUUUGCUUCUUCUAAAAACUUGUCACGCCUCGAAUUCUUGGGAACCCAACAUUUGACUCGUGACCCCAAGUCAAAGGUUUGGCCCUAAGGGUUACUCCUAUCCAUGUUGAUAGUCAAUUAUGAUAACUUGAUUUUUCUUGAAUAAAUAAACAUCUAAUCCCAAAUAAAUUUAUUAAGAUUUACUAUAUGAUUUUUUUUUUUCCAAAACCAACCAUCACAUUGCACACAUUGCCUUCGUGGGUGGUGAUUAUAAGUGAAAGAAUAUGAUGCUUAAGGGAAAUAAUAGUUUCCACAUUGCACACAAAGGAAUAUAAAGUAGCUUGGGAGGAUAUUUGGUCAAGGUGUUGUAGAACAUUUUCGGUUAUUAGUAAUGAAAUUAUGGCGAGGGACACCUUAUUAAUAUAUGAUAUUAAUUAGAAUGAAGUUGACAAUUAUUUCAUUAUUCACUUCCUUGAGUUGAAAAGCUUUUGCCUAUCUAGAAGUGUGAUCUAUAACCACCAAUAGUAUGUGAAAUUAUGAAAUUCAAAUUUCAUUUUUAAAUAUAUAGAAGAUAUAACUUUUACCCUUUUAUUUGGUUGUUGACUUGGAAAUAGCUCUAAAAUGCGAUGUUCUUUUGUUUUUUGGUGUUAUUUUAAAGCUUUAAUUUCAUUUUAUUAAUUAUAGUCAAUUGAUUAAUUAAGUAAAUGAAUGUUAUAAAUUUAUAUAUUGAUAUAUUUGAAAAAGUUACAAAAUUCUAGUUAAAUGGAUGUUAUUAAUAGAUUUUUAUUUAUUAGUAUAGAUUUAUUUGUAAAAUGUUUAGGGAAUUGAUGGAUCUUAACUGUAUAUAAUGCUUAUUAACCCGAUAAACUUGAAAACAUAUUUACUAAUUUAAACCUUACCCUAGUUUAAUAGAAUGAGCUUAAAUGGGUUUGGAUUGACCAACUUGGGUUGAAUAUCAAGUUGGGUUGUACUUCGAUAAAUGAAUUUCAUUUAUGGGUUGAGUUUGGGCUUUAAUCAUCAACCCAAUCCGAUAGCCCAAAUUGUAUCUUUAGAUAAUAAAAAAUUCAUGAUGUUUGUUAUUUUUUAUAAUGUAUACUACAUGCAAUAUAGUAUCUCAAAUAAGUUAUAUUUUCAAAUUUUUCUUUAAAUAAAAAAAAUUGGUCAUUACUUGUACAUUAAAAUUAAAAUUUUUUAAUAUGAAAAUAAAUGAUUAACUUACCAUAUUACAUACAUUAUAUUAUUAUCCUUUAAUUUACAUUUCAAAUUCUAGACUUAUGGGUUAAUCCCAUUGUAUGAUAACUAAAUCAUAGUUUAAGAAAUUGGGGUGUGAUAGCACCAUAGGUACAAAGUUGACAAAACCUAUAACCAAACACUUGAUAUCAAUUAUAGUAACCUCGAAUAAAAGGACUUCCUAGAAAGAUGGUGAGUUGGCUUCUCAUCUUGAUAGAUGGUGAAAUCGCUAUCUCAAAUAGGUAAAAUAUAUAGCCACUAAGACAAUGAUAGACAAAGGAGGUUGAUUCAGAAAAAUAUAAAGACUAAGAUAAAAGUUUUUGAAGUACUAGAUCAAAAGAAUUACAUUUCUAAAAACAUAUAUAGAAGAAAGUUGCUCAGUUGGAUGCCCUAUGGCUUGCCCUCUAUUAUCGAGUCUACUUUAAGCGGUAGGCAAUCGAACUUCUCACCUAAAAAACAUGUGAGAGUUACGAUGCAAAAGUCUAAGGAUAAUAUCUUUACAAUAAAAAUAUUUUUAAAUAAAAUUUAACAACAAAGUUAACUUGAGAAAGCCUUAUAUGAACUAUGAUAACAUCCUUGAAAUAUUUUAAUAGAAACAUACAAUCAACAUCAAUAUAAAUGUUUGCAAUCACAUGAAUUAUGGAAAUGUAUUAUCAAUUGUGCUCCUUAAUCUGAUCAUAUCACAACUAGUUAAAUUGAAAUAAUCAGCUGCUAUGACACCCAUCCUUUCAACAUGAUUAUCAAAUAAAUAGACAUGAUAAUUACCACAAUGACUAUCUCACGACAUAAAGAUCUAUGUAGAAAAAAUAAAAGGGCAAGAUAACAUUUCAUAUAAAUUUGUUCAUAUUUCAUAAUAACCAUAAUUCGUAAUCAUGGUAAAAAUAAUAUCUUCAAAAUGGACUAUUGUACUAUUGGGAUUGAACCUCUAAAAACAAAACAUGAUGUAAUAAAGUUAGACUUCACUAUCACUAGGCUAUUCAUUUUCUUUCAUUAACAUUGACUUGGAUGUAUUAGAAGUUGUAUGGAUGAUACAAAUCAUGGGUUUUUUGUAAGUAGAUAAGUUGUUCAUAACAAGUUCAUGGAUUUAUGCUGUAUAAUAAAGGCAUAGUGUACUAGCUCAUAAUUGGAAGAAUGACUUGUUUUGGCCAUUAGGAUGUAUUUCCUAUGGUGAGUGUACUAGUGUAUGUGAUACAUAUUGAAUAAGAUCUAUAGUGAAUUAUGAUAUAAGACAAUUGAUUGUCAUGAUUCACCAAAUUACUAUACUACAUGAACUCUCAACCUUAAGAGGAUAUGCUAAAGUCAAUAGGAGACUUUGGCCUAUGGAUGGGUGUAGACUCUCUAUUUUGUCCUCUUAGCAUAUUCCAUCUAGGAUUGCCUUCUUACAUCCUUUGAUGUCCUAUUGUACACUUAUGGUAAUUUUCUGAGCUAUUUUUUCCUCUUAAUUUUGUGUGGCAUGAAGAUUAACCAUUGAACUUUAUAUAUUUAAUUUUUUUUAGAUAAUAGUGGAUCAUUGAAAUAUUUAUUUACAUUUUUUGUGAGGUCAUAAGAAAUGAAGGUUGGUGAGGACUAUACAACAAACUUAAGUCUUUCUUGCUUGGAAUUGCUGCUUCAUGGGUGACUAACAAAAGGAUCAUUAUGGUUUCUCAUGCUGGCUGUGGAACAUGGAUCAAAAGGAUAGUUAAAUUUGGAAAUCAUCAUCACCAUACAUUUGGAGAAGGGAGAGGACUUCAGCUAGGAGGAUCAUGUGGCAUUAAAGGCUUCUCCAUUAUGCCAUCACAUGUCAACCAUGAAAGAAGAUUCCAUUAUGAGGCAUCAACUAGGGUCACUUGCAUUCAUUUUGGGUGUACAUCACAGCCUCACAAGAUCUUUAUUAAGAGGUUUUAGAAAUCUCUAGGAGCUUCAGAAUGAUCAAGGAAGAGUCACACAAUUGGAGUGGAUGAGGUCGUGCAUCUAGAGAGAGUUCUUGGGAACAUGCAUUUAGACCAUUUCUUGGAUUUUUGGAGGGAAACUACAACUGUCUUGAGAAGAUUUUAGAGGUUUCAUUUCUUGUUAGAGAAGGAUAAUGAAUUGAACACUUUUUUUCUAGGGUUCUAGGAGGAUUAAGGGCUUCUAAUAAUCGUCUAGCUCUAUAGCUUACCAUCUUCACACCAACAUUUUUAAGGAAGAUCUCCAUUGAUGCAUAUUGGUUCUAGAGAGCUUCAACAAAGAAUGUGUCAUUCUUUAUAACAGUGAGCACCAUUUUUUUCAUAGAUGAACAUCACAUACAUCUCAAUAUUGACAUUGAUAAGAGAAUCAUCAGAGAUGUCAUAGCUCGAGAUCAUGAAUUUCUACAUUGAAUCAUCACCAUUACGCGAUGACAAUUAGAGAAAGUGAUUACCGAUCUUGGGAGAAAAUUAUAUCUGCUUUUUCUAAAAACUUGUUACGCCUCGAAUUCUUGGGAACCCAACAUUUGACUCGUGACCCCAAGGGUUACUCCUAUUCAUGUUGAUAGUUAAUUAUGGUAACUUGAUUUUUCUUGAAUAAAUAAACAUCUAAUCCUAAAUAAAUUUAUUAAGAUUUACUAUAUGAUUUUUUUUUCCAAAACCAACCAUCACAUUACACACAUUGCCUUUGUGGGUGGUGAUUAUAAGUGAAAGAAUAUGAUGUUUAAGGGAAAUAAUAGUUUCCACAUUGCACACAAAGGAAUAUAAAGUAGCUUGGGAGGAUAUUUGGUCAAGGUGUUGUAGAACAUUUUCGGUUAUUAGUAAUGAAAUUAUGGCGAAGGACACCUUAUUAAUAUAUGAUAUUAAUUAGAAUGAAGUUGAAAAUUAUUUCAUUAUUCACUUCCUUGAGCUGCAAAGCUUUUGUCUAUCUAGAAGUGUGAUCUAUAACCACCAAUAGUAUGUGAAAUUAUGAAAUUCAAAUUUCAUUUUUAAAUAUAUAGAAGAUAUAACUUUUACCCUUUUAUUUGGUUGUUGACUUGGAAAUAGCUCUAAAACGCGAUGUUCUUUUCUUUUUUGGUGUUAUUUUAAAGCUUUAAUUUCAUUUUAUUAAUUAUAGCCAAAUGAUUAAUUAAGUAAAUGAACGUUAUAAAUUUAUAUAUUGAUAUAUUUGAAAAAGUUACAAAAUUCUAGUUAAAUGGAUGCUAUUAAUAGAUUUUUAUUUAUUAGUAUAGAUUUAUUUGUAAAAUGUUUAGGGAAUUGAUGGAUCUUAACUGUAUAUAAUGCUUAUUAACCCAAUAAACUUGAAAACAUAUUUACUAAUUUAAACCUUACCCUAGUUUAAUAGAAUGAGCUUAAAUGGGUUUGGAUUGACCAAUUUGAGUUGAAUAUCAAGUUGGGUUGUACUUCAAUAAAUGAAUUUCAUUUAUGGGUUGAGUUUGGGCUUUAAUAAUCAACCCAAUCCGAUAGCCCAACUUGUAUCUUUAGAUAAUAAAAAAUUCAUGAUGUUUAUUAUUUUUUAUAAUGUAUACUACAUGCAAUGUAGUAUCUCAAAUAAGUUAUAUAUAUAUAUAUAUAUAUUAUUGUGAAAUGUGCUUGCAAAUAAAAUUAUAGGAAAACGUAUUAUGUGUGCAUUGCAUAUAUUAUAUGUAGUGUUGUUAAUAUUAUCUAUCCAAAAAAAAUUACAAUUUAUUUUUAGGGUUAUUUGUUUAAAAGUGCCAAAAUAAGGUGGUAUUUGGAAAAAUGACCUCUAUCUUUUUAAAACCUGAAAAAUAACCCCUUUUGGACUAAAUUACCCCUGAAAAAAAAAAAACCUUUGAAAUUCAAAAGAGCAAAAAGGAAGAGAAAUUCAAAAGAACAUAAAGGAAGAGAAAGAGAACGAACCAAGGGUUCUCCCUUGAAUGGUAGACUACUGCACACUCUAUGGUCUUCUGAUAUUUUUUUUUUUGUUUUUUUUGUUUUUUUUUUGCAGAUUUGCAUAUUGUUGUUUAUUAUCUGUGUAAAAAGAUUCUAAAAGGAUAUUCAUUUGAUUGAAGUGUGAAUUUUUUUUCUCCAGUUUAUCGAAAAACGCGGGAAAUGAAGAGAACGAAAUGAAGUGGAAAAGAACAGAAAAUGAUCUUGAAAAAAAGAAAAACCUUUGAAAUUCAAAAGAACGGAAAGGAAGAGAAAGAGAACGAACCAAGGGUUCUCUCUUGAAUGGUAGACUGCAACACACUCUAUGGUCUUUUGAUUUUGAUUUUAAUUUUUUUGUGCAAAUUUGCGUGUUGUUGUUGAUUAUCUAUGUAAAAGGAUUGUAAAAGGUUAUUCAUUUGAUUGAAGUGUGAAUUUUUUUUCUCCCGUUUUUGAAAAAACACGAGAAAGAAAAAGAACGAAGUGAAAGAGAACCGAAAAGGAUAUUGAAAAGUAUGUUUAUUACUUUGAAAUAGUUUGUUUUUUUAGAUUAUUCUCUUUGUUCAUUUCAUACAUUCGCUUAAGGUGUGUGUUUUCUUUCUGCAUGGUUUUAGAAAAAAUGUGGGAGAAAGUAAUGGGUUUAUACAUUCACUUUUUGUUAAGCAUAAAUAUAAGGGUUUUUCUUAAAUUUGUUAGCUUAUUCCUCUUUGAUUUUGAACUUUGAAAAUACAUUAGUCUACCAAAGAAGAUAUCUAGUUGAAUUGAAAAAAAAAAAAGUCUUUAAUUAGAUUUCUUUGCUAUUUUAUUUUGAUGUUUUGCUCUAGUUGUUAAGAUUUUGAAGCAUGAUGUUAUGGCAAAUGCUCUGUUUCUAUAGUGUAGAAAUCUAGUAGAAAAGUGACAAAUGUGUUGACCAAUUUGGUCUUCUAAAGAGUUGAAUCAUAAUCAGAGAAAUAAAAUUUGCCCCCAUUUUGAUAUCUCAUCCCUGGUGAUUGGAAGAAACAUUUCAUUUGUCCCAUAGGAAAAUGAAUUUGUUUCCUUAAACCCCCUAGGUAGAGAUAUUGAAGAUGUUGCUGAAGUAUUUUUCCAUGAGCAGUGUUGAAAGAAUGGUUUUGAUUUCUUUUCCAAAAUUCAAAACCUUUUUUUAGAGUAGUUUUGGCUUCUAUCAUAAAGUGAAAACAAUACUUCUUCUAUGAGCAUUCAUGUUAGUUAUUCUCCUUUUGUGUUGCUUAACUUUUAAGUAAUGGAACCAAUAUGAUAUACAUGAAUAGUCAUUCUUUUCUAUUAAUGACAAAAUUGGAGAUCAUUGUAGUCUUUUCCAAUUGGGUGUCUAGUUUUUUAGCAGUUUGGGAAAAAAAAUAUUUUCCUAUUUGUAGUUAUUUUCCCAAUGGAUAGGAAGUUGGUUUAACUGAAAAUCUCAAUUUUCAUCAAACAAUUUGCAUAUCUUGCCUAUCUAUAGUUUCCAUUUUGCUUGAAUAGAUUGAGAAUAAAUCUUUGUUUUCCCUUGGAUGUGAACCAACAUUAACAAACACCCCAUCAAGGUCUAAACCUAUUUUGCUUUUACUAGAUCAUAAGUGACAUUUGCUAAAUUUGGGACCUAGUUGGUCCUGCAAUGCAAACCACAACAUUGAAAUAGUAAUCUCUAACAAAAGUCAUGACAAAGAAUGAUCCUAACUAAGAACUGAAAUAUUAUUCAUAACUAAAAUAUUGAGUUAGAUGAUGCAUAUGCAUAGCCAAAAUACUUCUACCAUAUGCUUUCUAUAAGUAAGGAUGGUCCUUUAACAUUGCUAACAUCACAUUUUUUGUGUUCAUGCAGUGGUGAUUGUGGUAUUUUUUUUUUAUCAAAUUUGUAGAAUACCUGAUGCACAACCAUCCAAUGGAUACACUAAUAGGCAAGCGAAUGGAUUAGUUUCAUGAGAAGAUGACAAUGGAGUUAUUUUUGCAUAAAGAACUUCCUAUGUGAUCCUACUAUUGUAAAUGGAUUGUAAUUGGAUAGCGGAAGAUGUUUUUAUGUAAUGACAUUGAAGUUUUUUGUUUAGCAAAUUCCUAUAUUAUAGCAUGUAUUUAAAUAGUUACAUGUUUUUCAUACAUCCAAAGAAAUGAAUGGUUGCAAUUUUUUUUUUUUUAUAAAUGUGACUGUGUUAUGAUUGUUAACAGGUUUGAAUUUAUUGUAGUAAGCAUAAUAAUAGAAACUUAUAUUUCAAUGUAGAGCUCAUAUUUUUUUUGCUCAAACUUAAUGAGUGUUAAGUUACUUGUAAAAUAAACUUAACCCUAGUGCAGUUCAGGUGAACAUCCUCAAUUAAAACUUAACUCCUACUAAGUUAUUUAUUAAAAAAACUUAACUACAGUUAAGUUCAGGACAUUUGUUUUAAUUCAAACUUAAUGAGUGUUAAGUUACUUGUAAAUUAGACUUAACCCUAGUGCCGCUCAAGUGUAUAUCCUCAAUUAAAACUUAACUCCUAUCAAGUUCUUUAUUAAAAAAACUUAACUUUAGUUUCGUUCAGGUAUUUUUUUUUUUAACUGAAACUUAACCACUAUUAAGUUCUUUGGAAAAUAAACUUAACCCUACUAUAGUUUAGUUGAAUAUCCUCAAUUAAAACUUAACUCUUACUAAGUUCUUUAAUAAAAAAACUUAACUUCACUUUCAUUCAGGUAAGUUUUUAUAACUUAAACUUAACCAUUGUUAAGUUCUUUGUAAAAGAAACUUAACCCUAGUGCAGUUUAGGUGAAUAUCCUCAAUUAAAGUUAUAUAUAUGAAUGAUCUCAACAUACAUAAUGUGUCUGAUCUUAACAUCAAUAAAAGAUUAAAACAUCUCCAAAUAUGUAUGAUCAAAUACUAACGAGACUAGUAUUCCAAAAAAAUAAAGAGUUCACUUGUCAUUUUGAAUGAGUUGGUAUUGAGGAAUGAACUUAAACCUCAUUUUUAAGUUUUAAGUUCAUCAUUCAAUUAAAAAAGACUGAAUCAAAGUACGAUUACAUGUUUUGUGCCCCAAUUCACAAUAUACAAAAAAAAUUACAAUAUCAAAUCUUUUAUAUGCCCAAUCAUCAUUUACAAAAAACAAAAAAAAAAUGACCAUAAAGUUGGCUUAGUGAUAGUUUUAUUCAUUCUUUGAUUGUAAGAGCAAUCUUGCAUGCCUAUUUCAGUGUGUCCACUAUUAUCAUUCUGAUAAUGCAGGGGGGUGGUCAUUUGCAUGACUUUCGAUUAUGACCAUAAUCACCACAUCGACCACACCGCCAUCUAUGCUUACCCUCUCUACCCGAAGGGAUUCUUUCCUUCCUUGGUCUUCCUGUUGGCCGCCUUGUUUUCGGUGGUAAUACAACUCUACUGCUUAUAUCAUCAGAUAUCAUCCAAUCCCUUUGAUGUCUAGGAGGAUAGAUGGACUCAGCAUAUGAAGAUAAUAAUGAGUUCAUUGUGUAAUAUUUGGAGCAUAAAGGAUAACAUGACAUAUGUGCAUAUCUACAAGCAACAAUAGCAUUUGAACAAGGUAUGUGAUCAAGAUCAAAAUGUCGACAUGUGCAUGAAUGAUUAUGUAAAUUUACAUGAUCAUUGACACCAUUAUAUUUAACAUUAUACUCCUUUGAGUUGACUGCUUCAACUUCAUAUGUUGAUGUUGUAUUGUACCUUACACGAAGCUCUCCAUCAGCUCAUGUUGUUAGCUCAAUUGUCAUUGACAAUGCUUGUUGUUUACGGUUUGCAAACCAUUUUUGAAGUAAAUAUCUUAACUCUUCAAUUAACUGCAAAAUAGGAAGAUCUCUUGCAUCUCUUGAAUAUUGGGUCCAUAUUGAUUUCUUUCUCAACCCCAGAUAAAGUAUGAGAGCCAAAAUUAGUGUUGAUGAUUGAUUCAUACCCAUGAUUGCCACUUAUUUUCUUUAUUGUGAUAUAUAAUGGAACUGGCAACUUACCAUCAGUUCAAUUUAAACGAAUAAAAAUUUUCACAUUUCCAUCUCUUCUUAACUGUAUAGGAGUGGAUGGUAUAUUGCCAUUGAAUACAUACUUCAUUGAAAGAUUGUGCUCUGUUGGAUCUACUUUCAAAAUGUGACAAACAAUCUUCAAUAAUUCUUCAUAUGUUGUAGUCUUCUUAAGUUCAAUACCUUUACCUUGGCAACCUUCAAAGUAGUACGUAUUUCCAUUUUGCACCCAAUCUCCUUUAUACAAAAGCAUUAUUCCCACUUCAUCAAUCACUGUAACAAAAAUAAAUAAAUAAAUUGAAUUAUUAAUACAAAAAAACAAUAUUAAAAUAGUAGUUAUUUGGAUAAGUAACUCAAUCCCGCAAAGUUGUCAAUUAACAUGUUGAACUAUACUAAACUAUCUUCAAGUUUUAUAUAUAAAGAACUUAACACUAGUUACGUACAGUUUUUACAUGUUAAAUAUGAACUUUACUCUUUUCAUACAAAUCUUUUUAACAAAAAAUUUCACUCAUGUUUACUCUAAAAUUUUCAUUUUUUUCCUUACAACCAAAUAAUGUUGAGAAUAGCAAAACUAAGGUAAUUUUUUUCCCAAAUGGGUUUACAUACCUUUAUUCGACCUCGCCAUAUGUUUUUCUUUAAAUCUACUCUGCUUCUAUUACCUCAAUUUUGAUGGUGGGUUAUAGUAAUGGUGUAUAGGGAUGUACUCACAAUGUUAGUGAGAGAUAUGCAUAUAGAUGUACUACUAAUGAGAGAGGUAAAACUAAAAUGUUUUGCUUUUGGAGAGAUAUCAUGUCUUUGGUGGGAGACUUACUCUUAUUUGUUUCUCUACUCUUUUCUGCUUCUCUUCACUCAGUUUUAUUGGUGGGUUACAGAGAUGGUGUAUAGGAAUGUACUCACAAUGUUGGUGAGAGAGAUGUAGUACCAAUGAGAAAGGUGAAACUAAAGUUUUCUACUUUUGGAGGGAUAUCAUGUAUUUGGUGGGGAUCUUAUGCGUUUUUUGAAGGAAAUAAAUAAGGGUAAAAAUGUCCAAAUUAGGACAUCUCUCAAAACAAUUAACUGGUGAGGUUACUUUUACAAUUUUACUUUUAUUUUGAGUCACCUAUCCAAAUAACCCUUAUUUUUAAUUAAAUCAGGGCGAACAAUAAUCUUGAAUGUUUUAAGUUGUGCGAACCGACUCUUAAGGCUACAUUUCGGUCAGCAAUAUAAACAAGGGUUUUGCCCAGAGCUAUGAAUGGUGUAACGUAUCUAUGUAAAAGGCUAGUCAUGAGACAGAUGACAAUAUAUGACAUAUCUAUUCUUCCAUUUUCCACCUCAUUACAAAUGGCAGCACUCAUCACAGACGAAUAACUAUCAUCAAAGACUGGGGACCUAAACUAACAUAGUCUUAUACAUGGAAGAAAGUAUCGGAAGUUAUGAAAACGAUAUUUCUGUUUUGGAGAAAUUUCAGGCGAUAUUUUGUUAAGGGGAAAAUGUUUGGGGUUCAGGCCACCUUACCACCAGGGCAAGUUUCCCUCUUGUUAAAUAAAAGACACUAAAAAUAUAUAUUCAAAAUUGUCAUAUAAAGAAAAUAUUAAAAAAAUAUUUUAAAGAGCAAAUUAAUUAUAAUUAUUUUAUAAUUAAAUGAAAAAAUUUCUUUUAAUUGAUUGCCAAAAAUAUAAAAAUUAUCAUGAUAAUUUCCUUCAUAGUAUUUUUAAUAUCAUUAAUAGAUUAAUUAAAUAUUAAAAAAAUAUUCAUAUAUCACAAUUUAUUUUAUACAUUUAAUACAAUUGAAUUAAAUGAAUCAUAAUUUUAAUAUUAAUAUAUAUUUUAAAAUUAAAUAUAUUAUAAUCAAAUAUCAUAAUAUGUGAUCUAAUUUAAUAAUAAAUAUACAUUUAUAAAAUUCAUAUUUUUAUCGAUGCAUAUGAUAUUAUUAUCAAAUAUGAUAAAUUAUAUUAUACAUAUAUCAAAUUCUUUAAUAAAACGAUUUUAAAAUAUAUAUUAUAUUUUUAUGAAGUUUUUCUUAUAUUUUUAUAAAUUUUGAUCAAUUUUAGGCUUAUUGAUAUUUUUUUUCCAAAAUAUCCAUCAAUAUAUCCGUAAAAUCGAAAUACCGACGAUAUAUUCGUGAUUACCGAUAUUUUUAUCCUUGGUCUUAUACGCCUACCAAACGAAAACUUCAGGCUUUAUUAAUGGAGUCCUCCCAAGCUAAUAGCGCUGUGAAGCAGACACAUGACUAGAAACCAUAGUCAUCCAACCACACACAUUUAAAAUCAACAAGAGUAUUUAUUAAAGAGAGACCUAACUUUACUCAAGCUUUGUAACACACCUCCCCAUCACAUUUCCAUCCUUCUCCGGGACUUGCCUUCUCCAUCUCAUCGUCUUUGGUUCCUUUGUCUUCUUCCAGUGCGCACUUGGGGUGGAGAUCGAAAUCACAUUCUUCACAAUAGAAUGACCACAAGUGUCCCUGCUUCUCACACCCAUUACAUCCAUAAACGCGACGCUUAGUGAGCACAAGCUCAUGCUCUUCAUGAAGGGCAUGUUUCAUCUUCUCAGGCCACCCCUUUGCCAUCUCCUCAUACUGCGCCUCGAUCUCCUUUAUAUGUUCUUCAGUGAAAGGAUAAGCAUCAGCCCCAUGAAUCAUAACAAGAUUUCUGGCUUCUGUUGUGACAGUCCGGCCAGUUGGCCCAAUGGCUAUGAGCGAGGGGAUGCCAUGGACCUUGAACGUGCGACUCAGGGAGGCCUUCCUUUUAUCCCCAAACGGAAGUGCCAGCCAUGGCAUACCUGAAAAGAAUUCAUCGAAGGAGGUCUGGUCCUUGUCACUAGAGAUGAAAAUCACUUCGAAUGCUUCAUCCUUUGUCUUAAUCUUCUGGUAUGCUUCAAUAAGUUUUGGUAGAAAAGCACGGCAUGGGGGGCACCAAUGUGCUGAGAAUAUAGGAGAUGUUCUUCCCCACUAGAUCAGACACGGGAAUCUGAANNNNNNNNNNNNNNNNNNNNNNNNNNNNNNNNNNNNNNNNNNNNNNNNNNNNNNNNNNNNNNNNNNNNNNNNNNNNNNNNNNNNNNNNNNNNNNNNNNNNUACCUGCGAGGAUUUGAGAUUGGAGAGUAGCAGAGGAAAAUAGGGCUUUUUAGGGAUUCUCUCGCUGGAAGACACCUUCAGAAAAGGGUUCUUGAUGCCCGAGAGAGAAGUGGGUGCCUUUUUUAUUUUUUUUUAUUUUUAGAUUUAGGGGAGAUAAAAAAAUAAAAAAUAAAAAAUAAAAAAAACAUGAGAACAAUUUUCUAUAAAUAAUUAUUAAUUUUCAACUUUUAUUUGGAUUAUUAAAUAAAUUUAUAUUAAUAAAAAAAGUUGUUAUCACAUUUUUUAAUAAAUUUUAAAAAUUAAAUCUCAAAUAAGAUAUUUUAUAUAAAUUAAUUUAAUUUAUCAUUUAAAAUAUAAUAAAAUAUAUAAAAAAAUCAUGAGAACAAUUUUCCACUCUCUAUAUAAAUAAUUAUUAAUUAUCAACCUUUAUUUUUAUUAUUAAAUAAAUUAAUAUUAAUAGAAAAAGUUAUUAUCACAUAUUUUUAAUAAAAUUUUAAAAAUUAAAUCUCAAAUAAGAUAUUUUAUAUAAAUUAAUUUAAUUUUUCAUUUAAAAUAUAAUAAAAUAUAUUUUAAUAAAAAUAUUUUAAAAAUUUUAAAAUAAAUACUGUCUUCAACAAGAUGAACUCCCUUCAUCUAAUAAUAUAUUGAAACUACAUCGAUAUCUUUCUUAGUAUAAAGACUAUUGCAAUCUCAUAUUUCUUAACUCAAUUUUAACUUUAUACACUUUCAAAAUUCAUAUAUAUUAUUUUUAAAAUUCAAAUAUCGAAUCUACCAAUAUAUCUCUAUUUACGAUAUUUUUCCUCUUAAUUAUAUAUAUAUCAAUUACACUUACAAGAUAACUUUAAAAUGUGUAUUCUUACUUAUGUUAUCAUUUUUUGAAGUUUUUUCAAACAUUCAUAUUAAUUUUAAAUAAUUUUCACUCCACCGAUAUUUAUGAAAAAAUAUCCACCGAUAUUUCUCCGAUAUUUCCGAUAUAUCCGUAAAAUUGAAGUACCGAUAUAUCUGUAAAAACCGAUAUUUCAAUCCUUGAUCAAGAGAAACAAUAUUUCAAACCCAAUCUAAUAAGUCCAAACAAAUAACAAUUUAACAAUAGACCCAAAUCCAAAUAAACAAUAUGCAAUUGAUAUAAUCUAAAUAUUCUCAAAUUAAUCACCAAAUACAAUAUGCCCAUAAACCCAAAUUAACAAAUUUUAAAUUAAUUCACUAACAAUAAAUUAAAUCAAAUUAUGUAUUAAUCUACCAACAACAAAUUAACUCAAAAUUUCAUAAUAAUUGAAUAAUCCAAAUUUCAUAAACAACAAUUACUACUAAAAUAAAAUAAAAUAACAACAAUAACAAUAAUAAUAAUAACAAUAAUAAUAAUAACAACGAGAACGGAUGAGAUGGGAAGGGGGUUGCCGGCCGCCAGUGGAGCGAGAGAAAAAAUGGAGAAAAAAAAAGAGGGAAGGAGAAAAGGAAAUGGGAGGCUCGGCCACCUAAAAAAUGGAAAAGAAAAGAAAAAAAACAAAAUCCAAAGGGAGAAAUGAGAAGAGAGAGAAGAUAGAAGAUAUGAAAGCGUGGGUGUGUGGCCGGCUUGGAAGGGAAGUGGAGUGUGGGGAGAGAGAAGGAAAAAAAAAAAAUCCAUGGGCCAUGUGUGUCUUCGGGUGGAGAAAAGAGAGUAGAAGAAUGAGGGGCCGAAGAAUGGAGGUGGGGGCGGCAGAGAAAAGGGUGGAAAAUAGGAAAAAAGAGAGAGAAAAGAGGAGAAAAAACGACAGAGGAAAAAGGAAAGAGAAGAGAGGAGGAAAAUCUUGGGACAAAAUGAUGGGGGGAAAAGAAAGUGGGGGGAAGAAUGGGAAGAGAGGAGGGCCGAAGAAUGGAGGUGGGGACGGCAGAGAAAAGGGUGGAAAAUAGGAAAAAGGAGAGAGAAAAGAGGAGAAAAAGCGGCAGAGGAAAAAGGAAAGAGAAGAGAGGAGGAAAGUCUUGGGACAAAAUGAUGGGGGGAAAGAAUGGGAAGAGAGGAAAAUCUUGGGACAAAUGAUGGGGGGAAAGGAAAGUUGGUGGGUGGGGAGGUGAAAGAAUGGGAAGAGAGAGAAGAAGAAGGUGGGGUGGUUGGGAAAGAGAGAGGAGAGAGGAGAGAGAAAAGAAAAAAAAUAAAAAAUAAAAAAAUAAUAAAAUAAUAGUAAUAAUAAUAAUAAAAUAAAAGUAUUAAUAAUAAAAUAAAAUAAAAUGAUAUACAAAAUAAUAAAAUUUAUUAAAUGGUGAGUGAGCCAAGGGCUCAAAAUUAACGUAAAGAUAAAAUUCGGAUAAAUUUUGGGGUUUAUACAUGUAUUCAUCUUCCAACAACCAAAUCUUUCAUUUUUUUUUUUCAAAAAAAAAAAAAAAAUUAAAGUUUUAGGGUUAAAUCACCUUACCUUAAAUCCAAAAAUCUAACCAUUGAAACUAAAAUAUGAUUUUGUAGGAAUGUUCAUCGUGUUGAAUAGAAUAUUCUUAUAAAAUUUGAGGCAAAACGAAGAUCGUUUGAUAGGUUGACUAACGUACCUAAGUUGAUAGCCCUUUUUCUUCCGCUCCUAGUUGACCUUUUCUUUCUUUCUUUUAUUAUUUCAACCGACUACUUCAUUUUAUAUAUAUAUAUAUAUAUAUAUAUAUAUUAAUACAACUUUAAAAUACCAUGCUUAUCUCUUUUAAUAAAUUAAACCAUUAUCCUUUAUUUCAUAUUCCACAAUUAUAAAUUAUACUUCAUUUAUGAUUUUUUGUCUUAUAAAAAAUAUUAUUGUAUUCUUAAUUAAAUUUGCUACAAACUUGAUUUUCAAAAUAUAUAAUUUGACUUUAAUUAUCUAAAAUAUUUUGACUUUAAAAUUCACUUAGGACAUGAUUCUAUUGACUAUUAAAAAAAUCAAUUUCAUAAAAUCUCUUAAACAUAAAAUAAUUUUUCGACAUACAAUAAGUUGAAAUUCAUAAUAAUAUUUAACCCCUUGAUUUUAUCAAUAUUUAUUUAUCAACAAAAAUUUAAGCAUUAUUCUAAAACUUAGUUCUAUCAAUUAUUUAGUCAUUCAAUUCAUAAUAAUUAAAUUAAUUCUCAUAAUAUGCUUAAUAUUCAAAUUGUCAAAAUCUAAUCUCAAUUAUUUGAUGAUCAAUUUUUUUUUCAAAUUUAAAUUUAAUUUAUAAAAGUCUUACUUUUUACAUAUGACGUGGUAGAAUUUUCAAACUAUUAAUUUUUCUAAAAUAUCUCAUAAUUAAUAUUAACAUCGUGGAUCUUAACUAUUUUUUUUAACCAUUUGACUAACAAUUUUAUAAAAACUUUUCUAAUCCUGAAUCUUAGUGUCAUUAAAAACCUGGGUAUUACAAAACUAGAGAUCACCUCUGCAUCUGGCACUAGUGGUGCUCCACCCCAUUACAAAUGGCAACUCUCAUCACAUCACAAAUGAUUAAUUAUCAUCAAAGAUUAAGGACCUAUAGUAACAUAGUCUUAUACACCUGCCAAAGAAAACUUCAGGCUUUAUUAACGGAGUCCUCUCAAACUCAUUGUGCUAUUAAGCAAACACACAUGGCUAGAAACCAUAGUCAUCCAACCACACACAUUUAAAAUCAACAAGAGUAUUUAUUAAAGAGAGACCUAACUUUACUCAAGCUUUGUAACACACCUCCCCAUCACAUUUCCAUCCUUCUCCGGGACUUGCCUUCUCCAUCUCAUCGUCUUUGCUUCCUUUGUCUUCUUCCAGUGCGCACUUGGGGUGGAGAUCGAAAUCACAUUCUUCACAAUAGAAUGACCACAAGUGUCCCUGCUUCUCACACCCAUUAC